CCCUGCCCUCUCACUGAAGGUGCUCGUGCAGUUCUUGGAAGAAGGCUUCACAGCCUGAAGAGGCAAGGGCCUGUCUGGGGCCUGUCCACUUGUUCAGCGCUGCAGUCCUGGGGCCUGGACACAGUGGGGCCUCCAUGAACACCGCUGAGGAAGAAAGGGGCACCCCCCAGCACUGAGACACCUUUCUGACGGCCACUUGUGGCUGUCCCUCUGCAGCUUUCUCCACCUUGCAUACCCUGCCCAGCGUCACCCUGUAGGUAGCUUUGUAGCCAUAAACCCACAUGCAGGACCAGGGACACUUCUGUCAAACUUGACAGGCUCCAAUGAGGACGAGCAUCCAGCUGGACGGAUAGCAUAUGUGAACCAGGCUCCUGUGAGAUAAGCACUGAGGGAGGCCUCUCCCUUUUCCCCGCCUCAUGGGGGAAGCAGAGUCCUGCUGAAAAUGCCCACCACUUCUCCUCUCCCUGAGGGGGGAUGGCUGUACCAGGGGCUAGUAUGAGAAUCAUAAACAGUGCUCAUCCUCGAGGGGACCUCUGAUGGCUGUCCAAAGUGUUCCCCACCCCUAAUGGGUGGAAGAGGAUGUGUUCUCCAGUGCUCAGGCUGGUGUCAGUUGGCACCACCCACGCCUGGACACAGACCCAGUUCUGUCCCUGGGCUGCCCCAGUGCUGCCCUGGCCACAGGCCUCAGGGUCACCGCUGGCAGGCUUUGCUGCCUGCUGGUCACCAACCCAGGGCCCCGGGUGCUGAGGAUGGCAUCCUGGGCCCUGUGUGUCAGACAGCCUCCCGCAGUGCCACACGGGUAGCAACUGUUUCCAUGGCAUUCAGGCUGUGAGCCCCAGGCUCACACAGCAUGGUGGGGGGGGGGGACGGUUCUUGGGGCCAUUUCUCUUGGGACUGCAAGGGGCCUCAGUCUCCUUCUGCUCCCUUCUCAGCACUGAAGCACUGGGCACAGAGUCCAGAGAUCAGGUUUCAAGGCUCAGCUGUAAAGGACAUUUGUAUUGUAUUUCAUUUGUAUCAUUUAAAAUUUUUUGUUACAAUUAGCAUCAUUGCACAGACCUCACCUGUUGAGUCCUUAAUGUCAGCCUCUGUCACCUGUGGGACCUAUGGGCUGUUAGCCUGACUGGGGUGGGCUUUGUACAAACAGGGCCUCACCCCGGGGCCCCAGGACUUGAGCCUGGGGUUCACGCAUGGGGGCGGGAUUCAGGCCGUGGGAUGGAGCUGUGUGACCCACAUCUGUUUGUAUUAUUAGCUCAGGAGCUGGCAGGCCGCGGCGGCGGUAACACAAUUCGAGGAACUGUUGACUCCGCUCUGGCCCCUCCCCAUGCCUGCUGUCGUGAGAGCCAGAGAAGACAGCGUGAGGACUGCACGUCCCUCCAGGGCACUGCUAAUGUCAGCGUUGGCGGGGGCCUCCCCAGGGGCCUUGGGUGACCCCGGGUCAGCUGCCUGGCCUCUGGCAUCCUCCCGUACCCGUUUGUGCAGUCCCAGCUUCUGCGGUCCUGGCGACCCCUCCUCCUCCUGCCCUCCCUCCUCUCCUCGCCCCUCUCUGACUUCAGCAGGGAAGGUGAUGGGUGGAGUGGGGGUAACCCUAACUGUUCGGUAAGCUGGGAGGAAUGACUGCCCCAGACCCCCAGGAUGAGGACGAAAGUUUUCCCUCUUUCCUGCCUUCCUCAUACAUUCCUACCUCCUCUUUCUGUCAUUGGUGCCUGCAGGUGCCAGCAUCCCGGGGAUAAGCUAGGGAAAGCCUGGGCCUUGGCCAGGUGCCCAGACUGUGGCUCCAGGGAAGGACCUGGCUUCCUGGCUACGUGCCCAGCUCUGCACCCCAGGUAGGGGGAUCUUGAGACAAUUUCCCAAGAUCCGUGUCCCAUGGGAUUCUCAGGCCUCUCCUGCAGGCUGUCGGGGGCACAUGAGAUGAGGUCAUGGAAGUCCUUCACAAGCCCAGAAGUGCCCCACAAGGUUAGCUGUGGCGUAGGUUUUGGUCCUGUAACUUCCCUGAGACAGGACCAGGGGCCUGUGGGCCCAAUGAACUCUGUAACAAAGGCUGAAACAGACCUCAGUGUCAGCAGGAACCAGGAGUUAGAGGAUUUAGUAGACGGUGCCAAGUGCUGGGCUUGGGGUCUAAUUCUGGGCUACCUAGAGAGGGAAACAAGGACACCUUUGCCAUCGAGGCACAAAUAAUAAAAGUGUUAGAAAUGGCAGGCACCCCAAAGGAGAGUCUCAUACUGUGUCCCCCUGAGCCCUUGGGCCCCCGGGGGUGCGAGGGUGAAGGUGAGAGGGGGCCAGCAGCCCUGCUCGUGUUUCAGUCACCCACUGAAAAACAAACGUUUAGUCCAGUUGGACCUUUGAUUGGAGAAGAGGUUCUACUACAAAAAUAAAUAUUGAAAAACCAGAGACCUCAUCUAACCCCACAGUUUCACCAGUGAGGAAACUGAGGCCCAGAAAAGAGAAGUGGUUAGCCUCAGGCUGCCCAGCCCAGUUGUGUCAGAGCUGCUGCCUAGGCCACUCACUCCUGGUCUGUGGAAAAGAGCCAAGACCCCGAGGAUGACGAGGACAAUGGCAAAGCGGGGUCCCCCCAUCAAGGUCUGGGCUUCAGCCACAGCUCCUUUAAUAUGACCCCUGAGGUGAGGCCUCAGGUCCAGGAGCCGUGUUGACCAGAUGCUGAUCUGGGCUGGAGAGGAGGGCAAAGGCCCACUUCCCCGACCAGCUGAGAGCUCUGCGGGCUGUCAGCCCCAGCAAGGCCUCUCCAACUAACCAACUACCCCAGCCCCAACUUUCCAGCCUGCCACCCACUGCCCCAGGCAUUCUCUCAGAGUCCUUACUGCAAGUAGCUGGGGCAGGCAGACAGGUGCCCCUCUCCCCGAUUUUACAGUUGACGGAGGCGCCUAGCGGUAAGUGGGCCCGGAACCUGAGCCUCCCCAGUGCCAAACCUGUGCUCUUGUCAUUACUUCCUGCUCUUCCCAGUGUCUUUCCCCAGCACCCCUCCUCCCCCAACACUGGCUCUGCUCACCCUUGCCCUCAGCCCUGUGCUGACUGGCCCAACCUUCCCCUCGUUGGCUUUAGCAAGGAGAGGCACCCUGACCAAGGUGCUGCCCAGGUCUCUCAGCCUGUGCAGAGCUCCCAGCCUUUCGCACAGCCCAGGCCCAGUCCCUCCCCUUGGAGGUGGACUUCUGUUCACCAUCCCCUGACUGCAGAGAGGGCUCAGGCCAGGAACUUGGUCCUCCAGCCAUGACUGGGUGAGACUAGGCCAGGACAUCCAAACAAGCUCCCAACACCUGCCCUUUCCCCAGGAUACAGACCAUACUCAGUGCCAGGGCAACCAACAGUCUCGGCUUACCCAGAAUUCUCCUGCUUGGCACUGAAAGUCCCAGGAAAUUCCUCAGACCCGGGCAAGCUGGGACAACUGGGCACCCUACUCAGCACACACACACCCAGGGUCUUCGUGCCUUCCCCGUCCCCUACUGAGUGGGGUCUUUCUUCAUUCUAUACCCCUGGUCUCCACUGAGGCUAAUGAGUGGGACCAUGGUCAGUCCACUCAAACUGUCUGGCCCCCUCAGACUGGGCUAGGGCCUAGCACAGACCCAGAGUCUGCUAAGGUGAGCAGAGGGUCCACAACCUGCUGGAGGUGUCCUGCCCCAGGCCCUGUGAGAUGAAUAGCAGAGGGAGCCCACGAAAAGCCUGGUGGGAUCCUGGGCCUUGAUCCCAACCCAGCUUUAUCCUCAGGCUGGGGGGCAGGCCACUCUGGGGUGACCCCAGGUGGGGCAGUCCUAGAGCUAGAGCCAGGCAGGGCCUGCCUGGGGCUCACUGAGGCAGCCUCUACCUGUCUAGGCUUGAGGUGAGUCAUUUCCUCCCCCAGCUGGUAUGAGGCUGGGAGGGGGAGGGAGGGGAUGUUAUCUAAAAAUAGCAGGGCCCAGCCUUAGACAUACCCAAAGAGCUUCUCCUGGGGCUGGGGGGAGGAGCUGACACCAGCUGUGGCCCCAGCCAGAUGCCUGCACUGGGCCGAGGAGGAAGAUGGCCCUGAGACCCCCGCCCCCCACCCCUUCCCAGGCUCAGCUAGGGCGCUGAGGUGUGGAGGAAGCAUCUGAAAGGCUGAGACACAAGGAGUGUCGGGAUGGCAUAGGAGCUUGAGGAGAAGAGAGGCCUCAAGCAGACAGGGCCUGGGAAGGGCCGGGGGCUCUGUGACUCGGCAGGCUUGGCCCUGGCUGGGGCUGGCAGAGACAGCAGCGACUGGAUCACCAGCCUGGGUUUCCCUCCACAUCAUCCCCACAGGACCACGUUCAUGCCACACCCCCACCCACACAACAGAGACGCACUCGGAGACAGAGACGCACUCGGAGCCACACAGACACAGCUGGCCCAUUGUUGCUUUGCGGCAGCCUUUUGGGAGGCCAGGAUGACCCUCUGGGCCGCCAUCUGGAACUCCCCAGAAAGAGCCUGUGACAAUGGCAGCACUGUGCCCCGAAGGAUAGAGGCAGCCCCGUUACCAUGGUUCCCCCGAGCCAACAGAUCUCCAGUGGCCUCCCAGUGGCAGCCGGAGCUUGGGACUCUCUCAGAGUCAAAAGGAGAAGCCAUAACCUCUGAGCAUGAACCAGGCCAGGAUCUGCCCUCCAGCAGUUUCACCUGUUUCCAUCAAGGGGCAGGAAGGCCAGGCAGUUGUUAAACCCGUUUCACCAGCGAGGACAUGAGAAGUGGACAGGUGAUGUGCCUCACUCAAGGUCACAUGGCCGGGAAGGUGUGAACAUAAGGUGAGGCCAGCAGCCGGACGUGGGAAAGGAAAACCAGUGGCCAGAUUCCAGCGAGGAUACACAGCGCUCGUCAUCACCGCCAUCAGAGCUCCCAGUGACUGAGCACUUCCUGGUUGCCUGUGCUCUCGCCCAACCCCCUGAGCCUAUGGGAAAAGGCCUUUAAGCCUUCCACUGGGCUGCCCCAGCAGCAUUGGCCACCUCCAGCAGUGAAAGCAGGGUGAGGCUGACCAGGACACCUUAACUGAGGAACCAGGAGAGCUCAGUGGAUUGAGUGAAAGGCCCAGGAGUCUUCUCACCGGACCAUGAGCUUCCUGAGGAGCCUCAGUUUUGUCAUCUGAAGGAGGUUUUGUCAUGAGGAACAUGAGAUGCUAUUAUGUGACAGUGCCAAGCAAGUCGAAGAUGCUUCAGGAUGAAUGGGAAGGGGAAAUUUGGACACAGACACAUGCAUAGAGUGAUGAUGAUGUAAAGAGACAUUGGGAGAAGAUGGUCAUCUACAAGCCAAGGAGAGAGGCCUGGAACAGAUCCCUUCCUGCACAGCCUCCAGCAGGAACCAACCACGGUGGCAUCUUGAUCUUGGACUUCUAGACCUCAGAACUGCAUAUCUCAGAGAUAUUGUGGGCUCGGUUCCAGACAACUGCAAUAAGGCAAGUCACACUAAUUUUUUGGUUUCCCCUUGCAUAGAAAAGUUAUGUUUAUACCAUACUGUAGUCUAUUAAGUGUGCAAUAGCAUUAUGUCUAAAAAAACAAUGUAUGUACCUUAAUUAAAAAAUACUUUAUUGCUAAAAAAUGCUAACCAUCAUUGAGCCUUCAGUGAAUUGUAAUCUUUCUGUUGAUGGGGGGUUUGAAAUAUUGUGAGAAUUACCAAAAUGUGACACAGAGACACGAAGUGCUGUUGAAAAAAUGGCGCCAACAGACUUGUUCAAAGCAAGGUUGCCACAAAUCUUCAAUUUGUAAAAAAAAAAAAAAAAACACAGUUUCUGCGAAGCCCAACAAAACACGCUUUACCUGUAUUCGAUUAAACUACCGUAAGAAAAAUGGUCAGGUUCAUGUGUGUUAGAUUACUUGCAUAAUAGUAUCACCUAUAAACAUGGUAGAUGAUGCUUCCAAACUAGCAUCCUUAUUAACUCACAUUUAAGGGUACUCUUUUCAAUUUAACAUUCUUCAUUUGACCAGGAUAGUUCAAGGACUACCAUCUCUAAGUUUUCAUAGUCUGUCCUUAAAUGUAAGCAGCUUUAAAAUGUAGGGGAAACUUUAAA
Orcinus orca (killer whale) is the source of this 5995-nucleotide long non-coding RNA. RefSeq lists it as uncharacterized. NCBI's taxonomy places the organism in Eukaryota, Metazoa, Chordata, Mammalia, Artiodactyla, Delphinidae. The transcript is spliced from 9 exons. The record is from RefSeq and is a predicted model, not a curated record.